RNAcentral lists this ribosomal RNA (390 nucleotides) under uncultured bacterium. RNAcentral's name for it is "bacterial SSU rRNA". It matches the Rfam family "Bacterial small subunit ribosomal RNA", at positions 28 to 419 of the family's 1533-position model. The record is from RNAcentral.
GACGAACGCUGGCGGCGUGCUUAACACAUGCAAGUCGAGCGGUAAGGCCCUUUCGGGGGUACACGAGCGGCGAACGGGUGAGUAACACGUGGGUGACCUGCCCUCAGCUCUGGGAUAAGCCUGGGAAACUGGGUCUAAUACUGGAUAUGACUCCACGGUGCAUGUCGUGGGGUGGAAAGCCUUGUGCGGCUGAGGAUGGGCCCGCGGCCUACCAGCUUGUUGGUGGGGUGAUGGCCUACCAAGGCGACGACGGGUAGCCGGCCUGAGAGGGCGACCGGCCACACUGGGACUGAGACACGGCCCAGACUCCUACGGGAGGCAGCAGUGGGGAAUCUUGCGCAAUGGGCGAAAGCCUGACGCAGCGACGCCGCGUGAGGGAUGACGGCCUGG